This 2895-nucleotide ribosomal RNA is filed under the name Escherichia coli. Its description in RNAcentral is "bacterial LSU rRNA". It matches the Rfam family "Bacterial large subunit ribosomal RNA". The record is from RNAcentral. Lineage: Bacteria; Pseudomonadati; Pseudomonadota; Gammaproteobacteria; Enterobacterales; Enterobacteriaceae.
ACUAAGCGUACACGGUGGAUGCCCUGGCAGUCAGAGGCGAUGAAGGACGUGCUAAUCUGCGAUAAGCGUCGGUAAGGUGAUAUGAACCGUUAUAACCGGCGAUUUCCGAAUGGGGAAACCCAGUGUGAUUCGUCACACUAUCAUUAACUGAAUCCAUAGGUUAAUGAGGCGAACCGGGGGAACUGAAACAUCUAAGUACCCCGAGGAAAAGAAAUCAACCGAGAUUCCCCCAGUAGCGGCGAGCGAACGGGGAGCAGCCCAGAGCCUGAAUCAGUGUGUGUGUUAGUGGAAGCGUCUGGAAAGGCGCGCGAUACAGGGUGACAGCCCCGUACACAAAAAUGCACAUGCUGUGAGCUCGAUGAGUAGGGCGGGACACGUGGUAUCCUGUCUGAAUAUGGGGGGACCAUCCUCCAAGGCUAAAUACUCCUGACUGACCGAUAGUGAACCAGUACCGUGAGGGAAAGGCGAAAAGAACCCCGGCGAGGGGAGUGAAAAAGAACCUGAAACCGUGUACGUACAAGCAGUGGGAGCACAGAGCAAUCUGUGUGACUGCGUACCUUUUGUAUAAUGGGUCAGCGACUUAUAUUCUGUAGCAAGGUUAACCGAAUAGGGGAGCCGAAGGGAAACCGAGUCUUAACUGGGCGUUAAGUUGCAGGGUAUAGACCCGAAACCCGGUGAUCUAGCCAUGGGCAGGUUGAAGGUUGGGUAACACUAACUGGAGGACCGAACCGACUAAUGUUGAAAAAUUAGCGGAUGACUUGUGGCUGGGGGUGAAAGGCCAAUCAAACCGGGAGAUAGCUGGUUCUCCCCGAAAGCUAUUUAGGUAGCGCCUCGUGAAUUCAUCUCCGGGGGUAGAGCACUGUUUCGGCAAGGGGGUCAUCCCGACUUACCAACCCGAUGCAAACUGCGAAUACCGGAGAAUGUUAUCACGGGAGACACACGGCGGGUGCUAACGUCCGUCGUGAAGAGGGAAACAACCCAGACCGCCAGCUAAGGUCCCAAAGUCAUGGUUAAGUGGGAAACGAUGUGGGAAGGCCCAGACAGCCAGGAUGUUGGCUUAGAAGCAGCCAUCAUUUAAAGAAAGCGUAAUAGCUCACUGGUCGAGUCGGCCUGCGCGGAAGAUGUAACGGGGCUAAACCAUGCACCGAAGCUGCGGCAGCGACGCUUAUGCGUUGUUGGGUAGGGGAGCGUUCUGUAAGCCUGUGAAGGUGUACUGUGAGGUAUGCUGGAGGUAUCAGAAGUGCGAAUGCUGACAUAAGUAACGAUAAAGCGGGUGAAAAGCCCGCUCGCCGGAAGACCAAGGGUUCCUGUCCAACGUUAAUCGGGGCAGGGUGAGUCGACCCCUAAGGCGAGGCCGAAAGGCGUAGUCGAUGGGAAACAGGUUAAUAUUCCUGUACUUGGUGUUACUGCGAAGGGGGGACGGAGAAGGCUAUGUUGGCCGGGCGACGGUUGUCCCGGUUUAAGCGUGUAGGCUGGUUUUCCAGGCAAAUCCGGAAAAUCAAGGCUGAGGCGUGAUGACGAGGCACUACGGUGCUGAAGCAACAAAUGCCCUGCUUCCAGGAAAAGCCUCUAAGCAUCAGGUAACAUCAAAUCGUACCCCAAACCGACACAGGUGGUCAGGUAGAGAAUACCAAGGCGCUUGAGAGAACUCGGGUGAAGGAACUAGGCAAAAUGGUGCCGUAACUUCGGGAGAAGGCACGCUGAUAUGUAGGUGAAGCGACUUGCUCGUGGAGCUGAAAUCAGUCGAAGAUACCAGCUGGCUGCAACUGUUUAUUAAAAACACAGCACUGUGCAAACACGAAAGUGGACGUAUACGGUGUGACGCCUGCCCGGUGCCGGAAGGUUAAUUGAUGGGGUCAGCGCAAGCGAAGCUCUUGAUCGAAGCCCCGGUAAACGGCGGCCGUAACUAUAACGGUCCUAAGGUAGCGAAAUUCCUUGUCGGGUAAGUUCCGACCUGCACGAAUGGCGUAAUGAUGGCCAGGCUGUCUCCACCCGAGACUCAGUGAAAUUGAACUCGCUGUGAAGAUGCAGUGUACCCGCGGCAAGACGGAAAGACCCCGUGAACCUUUACUAUAGCUUGACACUGAACAUUGAGCCUUGAUGUGUAGGAUAGGUGGGAGGCUUUGAAGUGUGGACGCCAGUCUGCAUGGAGCCGACCUUGAAAUACCACCCUUUAAUGUUUGAUGUUCUAACGUGGACCCGUAAUCCGGGUUGCGGACAGUGUCUGGUGGGUAGUUUGACUGGGGCGGUCUCCUCCUAAAGAGUAACGGAGGAGCACGAAGGUUGGCUAAUCCUGGUCGGACAUCAGGAGGUUAGUGCAAUGGCAUAAGCCAGCUUGACUGCGAGCGUGACGGCGCGAGCAGGUGCGAAAGCAGGUCAUAGUGAUCCGGUGGUUCUGAAUGGAAGGGCCAUCGCUCAACGGAUAAAAGGUACUCCGGGGAUAACAGGCUGAUACCGCCCAAGAGUUCAUAUCGACGGCGGUGUUUGGCACCUCGAUGUCGGCUCAUCACAUCCUGGGGCUGAAGUAGGUCCCAAGGGUAUGGCUGUUCGCCAUUUAAAGUGGUACGCGAGCUGGGUUUAGAACGUCGUGAGACAGUUCGGUCCCUAUCUGCCGUGGGCGCUGGAGAACUGAGGGGGGCUGCUCCUAGUACGAGAGGACCGGAGUGGACGCAUCACUGGUGUUCGGGUUGUCAUGCCAAUGGCACUGCCCGGUAGCUAAAUGCGGAAGAGAUAAGUGCUGAAAGCAUCUAAGCACGAAACUUGCCCCGAGAUGAGUUCUCCCUGACUCCUUGAGAGUCCUGAAGGAACGUUGAAGACGACGACGUUGAUAGGCCGGGUGUGUAAGCGCAGCGAUGCGUUGAGCUAACCGGUACUAAUGAACCGUGAGGCUUAACC